CAGAUGCUGCUUCUAUUCCCGCAGGGGGAACCGACCUAGUCCAGCCUGGAGCGGUGCCGGCUCCCACCUGCCCGGACAGCGUGGAGCCAGAAUCACCGAUGAUGGCAACGAUGUCGACAUCUCUGGAUCCGACCAGCCCCAUCGUCUUUGGGAUGAGCACGGCAGCCGCUGUCCUCCUCCUCCUCCUCCUCCUCGUGGCCUUCGUCUGCUUCAGAAAAACCCGAGCCAUUCAACAGAGUAAUGAAGAUCUACUUUCUGCAGAACAGUUUCAGCAACAGUAAACCAAAGAAAUCUCAAAAGAUCUCAGUGAUGCAGUCAUCUUCCUCAAACGAAUAUAUUCCACCAACUUUAAAUUGGAUUGCAAGCCAAAGGAAUUGCUUCAAGAAAUAUUCAAACUUGGACUCUCCGGGGUGUUUCCUAAUAUCACAAUUGCAUUGUGUAUAUUUGUCAGUUUGCCUGCAUCAGUGGCUCCAAGUGAACGCACCUUCAACGUGUUGAAGCAGGUAAAAAACUAUCACCGUUCAACUAUGGGACAAGAGCGUUUGAAUGGGCUCGCCAUGCUUAAUAUCAACUGCGACAUUGCACGAAAGAAAGA
This is a long non-coding RNA of Malaclemys terrapin pileata, 595 nucleotides long. RefSeq lists it as uncharacterized. The transcript is spliced from 3 exons. NCBI's taxonomy places the organism in Eukaryota, Metazoa, Chordata, Testudines, Emydidae. The record is from RefSeq and is a predicted model, not a curated record.